GAUGAACGCUGGCGGCGUGCCUAAUACAUGCAAGUCGAGCGAACAGACGAGGAGCUUGCUCCUCUGACGUUAGCGGCGGACGGGUGAGUAACACGUGGAUAACCUACCUAUAAGACUGGGAUAACUUCGGGAAACCGGAGCUAAUACCGGAUAAUAUAUUGAACCGCAUGGUUCAAUAGUGAAAGACGGUUUUGCUGUCACUUAUAGAUGGAUCCGCGCCGCAUUAGCUAGUUGGUAAGGUAACGGCUUACCAAGGCAACGAUGCGUAGCCGACCUGAGAGGGUGAUCGGACACACUGGAACUGAGACACGGUCCAGACUCCGACGGGAGGCAGCAGUAGGGAAUCUUCCGCAAUGGGCGAAAGCCUGACGGAGCAACGCCGCGUGAGUGAUGAAGGUCUUCGGAUCGUAAAACUCUGUUAUUAGGGAAGAACAAAUGUGUAAGUAACUAUGCACGUCUUGACGGUACCGAAUCAGAAAGCCACGGCUAACUACGUG
RNAcentral lists this ribosomal RNA (497 nucleotides) under uncultured bacterium. RNAcentral describes it as "partial 16S ribosomal RNA". It matches the Rfam family "Bacterial small subunit ribosomal RNA", at positions 28 to 507 of the family's 1533-position model. The record is from RNAcentral.